GCGGCCGUAGCUCAGUUGGUAGAGCGUCAGCUUCCCAAGCUGAAUGUCGUGGGUUCGACUCCCAUCGGCCGCU
Molecule: transfer RNA, 73 nt
Filed under: Planctomycetota bacterium
Lineage: Bacteria; Pseudomonadati; Planctomycetota
Description: Planctomycetes bacterium (activated sludge metagenome) tRNA-Gly
Rfam family: tRNA
About the family: Transfer RNA (tRNA) molecules are approximately 80 nucleotides in length. Their secondary structure includes four short double-helical elements and three loops (D, anti-codon, and T loops).
Source: RNAcentral